Molecule: non-coding RNA, 1006 nt
Organism: Peromyscus maniculatus bairdii (prairie deer mouse)
Lineage: Eukaryota; Metazoa; Chordata; Mammalia; Rodentia; Cricetidae
Source: RefSeq, a predicted model, not a curated record
CGCUAGUGCUCUCUGGUGAACUUUCUAGUCACUGACUGUCUGUCAGAAGAAGGAGGAAAAGCCCCGGCGGUGUGUUGGAAGUCACAAGGUCUGAACCGAAUGCAAAGCAGAGUCGGACCGCGCGGCUCAGCCAAACCCGUGCAGAGGGCUCAAAAUGGCUGCUCAGGGGUCGCCCUGCAGCCUCACCUUGGGCUGGGGGACUUUAUCCUCCAGAUUCCCCGAAGGGUGCAUGUGUGCCUUGGUUAUCGGAGCAGACAUCUGCUCUGGGUUUUCAGAUACUGUUCACUUAGUGGCUCAGGCACCUUGCUCCUUCACCAGUGAUGUUGGCUCCAACAAAGAAAGCAGCUGUACCUCCAGCCUCAGGAACCCGGGACACAAACCGGGACCCUAACCAAGGACCGCCUACAGGGCUUUCCUUGUGUUGUUAGAAAAUGUAAAACAUAUCUCCCCAAACUAUGAAAUUACCAUUCAACAGAAUUAACGGAAUUGAGAAACGAAAACAAAAAGUUUAAGUGAAAAUAAAAGCAAUGGACCCGAAGGAGAGUGACCAGCAUGAGUUCCCACUUUGUCGUUCUCGCACUGUUCUGGCUGGUUCCGCAUGGGACCAGGGUCUCUGGGACAAAGACAAUGGCAGCCCCUCCUUCCCUCAACACAGAGGAAGAAACAGGGAUUCACAUGUGGCUGUUUGACAUACGACAUGUGAGAAACUCAAGGAACCACAUCAAGAUGCAGAAGCCACCCUCCAGCAGCCUGGUUUCCACCUGGAGCUUGGGGAGACCCCGGCUGAGUGUCCCCAGCAGCAGCAGGUGUGAGUCACCAGGUGCUGCUCGUUCAGCAAAACAGACAGCUCAAAGCUGCCUGGCUCCUAUGCUUCUGGGAGGUGGGACCUGCUUCAUUUAACCUUGAACCAGAACCUCACAUUACCUAAGAGGCAUCCAGUAAGUCUGUCAGGUGUGACCAUUGCAUCUCGUGUAAGGAAACAGCCACUAAUAAAAAGGUACAGAGA